GAUGAACGCUGGCGGCGUGCCUAAUACAUGCAAGUCGAGCGAACGGACGAGAAGCUUGCUUCUCUGAUGUUAGCGGCGGACGGGUGAGUAACACGUGGAUAACCUACCUAUAAGACUGGGAUAACUUCGGGAAACCGGAGCUAAUACCGGAAAAUAUUUUGAACCGCAUGGUUCAAAAGUGAAAGACGGUCUUGCUUUCACUUAUAGGUGGAUCCGCGCUGCAUUAGCUAGUUGGUAAGGUAACGGCUUACCAAGGCAACGAUGCAUAGCCGACCUGAGAGGGUGAUCGGCCACACUGGAACUGAGACACGGUCCAGACUCCUACGGGAGGCAGCAGUAGGGAAUCUUCCGCAAUGGGCGAAAGCCUGACGGAGCAACGCCGCGUGAGUGAUGAAGGUCUUCGGAUCGUAAAACUCUGUUAUUAGGGAAGAACAUAUGUGUAAGUAACUGUGCACAUCUUGACGGUACCUAAUCAGAAAGCCACGGCUAACUACGUG
RNAcentral lists this ribosomal RNA (497 nucleotides) under uncultured bacterium. Its description in RNAcentral is "partial 16S ribosomal RNA". It matches the Rfam family "Bacterial small subunit ribosomal RNA", at positions 28 to 507 of the family's 1533-position model. The record is from RNAcentral.